Nothobranchius furzeri (turquoise killifish) is the source of this 5264-nucleotide non-coding RNA. Lineage: Eukaryota; Metazoa; Chordata; Actinopteri; Cyprinodontiformes; Nothobranchiidae. The record is from RefSeq and is a predicted model, not a curated record.
UGACUCCUGGGGCCCAAAUCGGGGUUCGGCAUGUUGUGGCGGGCUGCUGGCACGUCACGUGGGUGUCUUGGGAGGUCCUCCUCCCGUGGCACGUCUGCGUAGUGCAGCCUGCGUCUUUCAACUGGGGCUUCUGCGUAAUACACUCUGUCCGGGUACGGACUGGCAUAUGAUGCUUUGUCCUGUAGCUGGUUAUCGGCAUGCCGAAUACCGGAGUAGCUAGGAUGGGUGGAUGGUUGAGGUGCAGGUUGGGGUGCAUAACCCCAAUCGGCACCUUGCACCCUUCGUGGACUGGGGGAGCGGUCUAAAUAGAGGUGCCGCUCAGCUGGUCGACUUCUCACUGAUUGAGAAGGCCGUGAAGAUGAGGGUGGUGGUCCAACCUGGGGUUCGAGGGCGAACUGCCCUCGGCCCCUAGGUGGUCCUGAAUGCCCUAGAGUGUGUGUAGGGAACGGGCCAGAAGGUUGGGACAGAUAAGCUUCAUCUCUCCCCUGUGGCGUGCGUCCGUCCAGAGAGUCCCACACUACAUACUGUUGAUUAUCGUAUGGAGAUGUAUCAGGAGGUGGCCUACCUUUACGGCGGGACGACUGUCCCUCGCUUCCUCGGGUGGAGGAAACCAAUUGCGGUUUGCCGGUCGUCCUGGGCGGACCCUGGUUGGCUUUGCCGGCUUGCUUUCGUACCGGUGUGGGAGAGGACUCUGGCUCAGCCUCAGCGUCGUGGUGUUUCCCCCCUUCCCACUGUCUGUUCUCAUCAGCAGAGGGGGGCGGGGUCUCCUCCCCAUCUUCCCCAGAAUCGGUGCGGGUGUCGUCUUCCUCGAUCAGCCUUCCAUUUCGCUGUUUUUCAGCUAGCAUACUCUGGAGGUUCAUGAUCUCUCUAUCAUGUUGGAGUCCUCUCUGAUAGAGGAUCAGGGCUAACUUAGCUAAGUGAACCUGGAUUGGUUUUGUACCAUCCGGGUUUUCUAUUUGAUCAAUUACAGCGUCCAGCUGUUCUUCAGUGAAAUCCCUAGAAGGGUAGUCAGGUUCUCGAGCAACAGCGACCAGUUUGGACAAUAUUUGUCCAGAAAGUAGGCCAGGUUCAUAGUCGUGGGCCGCAGCGCCACCUGGUUGCUGGGAGUUGGUCAGUUCACUACUCUGUCCCUCCAUUUUUAACAACCGAACCAAAAUAGCCUAGUAGAGCUUCUGCAGAUAGCUCAAAACUGCACCUUUUGGGCAGCAACUGCUAGCUUUGUAGCAGAAAACACUAAAUUAACCUUUGUGCGCACAGGUUUUAGCGUUUUUUUUAAAUUGCACGGAAUGCCGUGACUGACGCUUAAAAUACUAUUCCUUUCAGUAUUUUAGCAAAAGCUGGUGCGUUGCCGUAGCAACGUCUUACAACACUUGCAGUGUUAAAUGUGCUAGUUUUUCCUUCAGAAUAUUAGCAAACAGGGUGUUAUCAGUCUUUGAGUGAAGGUUUCAGUUAGUUAUAAUAGCCACUGUGAGUUAAAGUCGCUAAAUUAGCAGUUAAUUUUAGCCUAAAAGGGUUAGACAGAAUCACUUACAUACUGCACCUUUAAUAAGGAACUGAAUUUUAACCUAAAAGGUUAGCCAGAAAUUAUUACACGUUGCACCUUUAAAGAAGCACUGAGUUACUGGUGAGAGUUCGAUGCAGCUUCCUGCUCAGCGAAAUCAGCACCACUCUGUUGCUGGUUCAAGGCUGAACAACUGAUUAUUUUUAAUCCAAGCUAAAGAUUUAUUUGUUUGUUUGUGCCGUAUAGAAAAUCUCUGUGUAUCCGCCUCACACGGGCUGCACCAAUUAUGUUGGGGUUAUUAGGAGCGAACAAUUAGUAAGCGUUAACUUACUUUUGGAUUCUUCAAUAAAUUCUGUAAAUAUGGGAAUAUUUACUGAUUUAUUAAUUAAUUAAGAUAUUCUUAGAUAUCUCCGGGGCACCACCCUUUAAUUAGAAAGGGAAAUGAACCCAAAACCUUAUCAGUCUUUCUUGAAGUUCGUAGAAUCCCUGGAGCAGAGACUUCUCUUCGACACAACAAAGCUACUGGAGACGAAAAUCUGAAUUUUAUAACAUUUAAUUGAACAAUUUGUCAAAUGAAUAAACAGUGGCAUAAAUGAAUAAUAACCAUGUGAUAUAAUAAAAGGAUGUAUAUUCAAAAUAAUGUUCAAGGUGUUUUAUGUGUAUGUAUGUGUGUGUGUGUUUCUAAAAUGGAGUCUGUAUACAAGAUGGCUGACCCCUUUGUCUGGCUAAAGUGGGGGUGGCAACUUGCACUUUAACUUCCAAAGCACUUAGAAUCAGUAGUAACUUAAUUAACCUUAAAGAGCAAGUAACGUCUAAAUUAACUUUUUUUUGCUGAUGAACUGCAUAAAUGAGUGUCUAAUAGUGUUUUAAAUGUGUGCAUUCUUUAUUUUAGCAUUUUGGUGUAUUUUCUUUAAACAUUAAAAAUUCUGUCUAAAAAUCACAGUAAUGCGCCACCUUCAGCUGAAAACAUAGAAUUUGAGUCAUUUUGAAUAAAUUUUAGCCAAUGGCUAAAGAGUAAAGUACUACGUAAACCAGUAGAGUACUACGUAGCAGCUCCGUGCCAAAGUUAUAAAAGCAACGAGCGUCUCGGCCACGCCCUGUGGCGAGUGGGAGUUGGAUUUGCAAGCGAGCGUAGGAGGUCAGCGGUAGUUCAGCAUUAGCAUAUAGCAUUAGCAUAUCCUAGUCUUUAGCAUAUCUUUUAGUGUUAUAAAUACUUAUUUAGUGUUAGAUUAGGCUGUUGGAUAUUGUAGUUUAGUUAGUGUUUGGCUGUUAGUGUAAUUGGGAAAGUAGUUCGGGUUUAGUGCUCCAUAUCGUGUUAGUAUUGGUGAGUAGGUGUAGUGUAGUAUGGUUGCGGUGACUCUGUGGGCAUUUUACCCGCGAUUCUGCACGUCUCCGUUUGAAGAGGGAGGCUGUGCCCACCGUGGCUCUUCCGCGAUUUAGAUGCAGCCCACCGACUCUGCUCCCCCACCACGGUGGGCUCCAGUCUGAGGUGAGUAAGCUAAAUAAACGUUUUAACAUCUUCUAAAGACAAUUCCCUACCUAAAUGCAAAGUCUGAGAGACGUGGUUCACUUCCUUUAGCUAGUCAGUCGGCGAUUCUGCAACAGUGGCUCUAACUAACAGCACUAGUUGACAGACAGCAUUACAGCGUGAAAUCCAGCACAGCGUGACCCGGUUCUGUAAGGAAUUCUGUUCAGGAGGUCACAUUUCAGGCUCUCCACAUCAUGUGUGACUGACUUUUACGUUAUAACAACGAUCACACACUAGGAAUGUUAUAAAGCGCCUAUAUAGGAGAUUCUUUUGUAUAUUAUCUGACUUUAUAAACUCCCAACAACAGUGUGCUUUUUUUUUCAGGCUAAAUCUACCCAAGACACUGGCUGUCAGACUGAUUUAGCUGCAAGAAUGCACUUGUCCAGGCAGACGUGAAGCCUUACCUGUAGCAAAGCCAGCCAGAGUGGAGUUCACAGCCGCAGUGUGUCUGGUGACCCACGGGGACCAUGAUGAAAAUUCAUCUUCCAGAAGGUCCCAGAGCAGCGGCCGCACCCCCUGAAAAGACCAAGGUGUAAGGUGUCUGCUGUUGAUUCCAGCUUCCACCUCAGUGACAGUGCAAGCUCAGUGAACUGUUCAAGGACACUCAGCAAAAUAUGGACUCUACACCAUGAGGCAGGCACACGUUAAUAUUCUAUAAAAGCACAUAAGGUGAGCAACACCACAUAUUAUUGUACACUGUCCUGAAUUUGUUUUCUUUCUGCAUCUCAUUAGCCUGGCUGAUCACCUGAUAACUCCUGUCAUCUGGUUAUGACAGCAUGAGGAUGUCCUCACACACCUUUAACCUAUCAGCUCAUCUGGCAGAAUAGAGAGAGAAGAGACAACACCACAUCUCCUGUUCCUGAAAGCCUUCAGCCAUCCUUCGAUGACUGAGAACCUCCAUCAGCUCUGUCUCCUGUCUGCCUACAAUUAUUAUAAUAAAUAUUGUGUUUGACAAGUUUUUUUGUGCUGCCAAAUAUCUCAUAUAGAUUCCAGUUUUGAUAUUUUAAUGGAUAUUUAUAAAUUACAUUAAUUGAAUUAUCACAUUGCAUGUUUAACUAGCUCUAUUGUGAUGAAUUAAACUAGCACCUCACUGUUAAAAGCUCGUUUUAAUUUCAAGCAUGUUUAAGUAUUUAUGGACAUGAAAAAAAACAGGAAAUAUGUAAAUUGAGAUUUAUUUAAUUAAUAUAACAAAUAAGGGGGAAAGAGUCAUUGAAAGGCACAUUCUUCUGGAAGCUCCUGAUCCUGACCACACCAGCAGAGGAGACCAGCUGCAGACACCAGAGACCAGCUGCAGACACCAGACGACCUAGAACCAAGAGAGCAGCUGUUAUUAGUAAAUAAAUAAAUCAGGGCAGUUUUAGUGAGCUGAACACAUUACAGAAUAAUUUUCUCAUGGGGUAUUUUCAUAACUUUAUGCAGCAGACUGUAACUUGAGCCCAGGGCUACCGGAGAGCUGCUAUCCAGCACGUUUCAGUGGAUUUUCCUGCUUUAACAGGUUAGAUUAACUGUUAAGCAGCUCAGCUAUUUGUUGCUGAUUAAAACCAGGUGUGCUGAAGCAGAUAAACCUCUAAAACAUGCUGAAUACUAGCUCUCCAGGGCCGUGGAGACAAACCCUGCAGCUAAUCUGAUGCUAUGGCUAAUGGCUACUUACAUUCAGAGGUGGUUCUGUUGGGUCGGUUCUGGGAGAUACAGGCAACUCACAAUCUCACAACAAUAAGGCUCAGGUCCGCUUGUCUCCUCCAAAUAGACUUGGUCCUUUUCUUCUCGAGUGUCUGAGUAAGGAGGGGGAGAAACGUCCUCCAUUUCUAAUAACUGCAUAGAGUGAAGGGAGCUAGCAUCGUCUAGUUAGCCGUCGUCUUCGUCACUGCCGCGGCUCCGCCCUCUCGGUCCUCCAGGCAACGCCUACUAAUGUUGCAUUUUUUUAAAUUGAUACGUGUGUGGAGUAAGACUCCGAGGCUCAAUUGACCCGCUCUUUAAAUCACUCAAAACAUUUCAAAGGAUCAUGAAACAACACAAAAGAUUGAUCACAAGUUAAUAUCUUUUAGUUUCACCACUUGGCCAUAGUAGGAAACAUUUAAAGAUAUUCAAGCAAUGAUAAAUAAGCAGUUUAUUCUUUCAAAAUGACCCGACGGACGUAUUUGGGAGCGAAAGAGGAAAACACGAAGCUACUUUUGAGCAAUAGAGUGGUUUUAUUGCUUAUUCUGGACUAUAGAGGAAACGGGAGAAGAAGGAGAG